Molecule: long non-coding RNA, 452 nt
Filed under: Elaeis guineensis (African oil palm)
Lineage: Eukaryota; Viridiplantae; Streptophyta; Magnoliopsida; Arecales; Arecaceae
Description: long non-coding RNA (EGUI_LNC038035)
Source: RNAcentral
CACCGACCACUGAUCUUAACUUCGGCCACCGACCAUUGAUCUUAACUUUGGCCACCUGACUUCGAUUAUCUGACUUUGGCCACCUAUCCUGUUACUUGAAUCGAAGAAAUAUCCUUGCAAGCUAUGCCAUUAGCCAAUCCUCGGUUCCUCUAUCGAAUCUGACCUGAUUUGGAAAUCUCAUACCUCUUUCAAAAUUCAAACAACAUGAUAACUAGCCGUGGGAUGGAUAAGGAAGAACAAAUAAAUUCUUCUAGAUAAGGAAAGGAUAACGACCAAAUCUCAUCGAAUAAGGCAAGGCUAACUGCCUGAUCCUUCUUCCUCUCACGACUCUUCAGCCUCCAUCCAUAAAUAAAGGACCAAAAGGGACCCUUUAAAUAUGAAAUUUCUCUCUUCCAACAUACUCACUCCUUUCCUUCUAUUACCUGAUAUCUAACUUGAGCAUCAAAAGGUCC